UUGAUCCCUUACUUUAGUUUUGUUGCAUGUGCUUGUUGACAUAAUUUUUAUAUUAUAAAUGGCAUUCGUCUUAUUUUAGCUUCUUUUUGUCCAUAUUAGUCAGGCGCCAUUAUAUCGAUAUACUUUUCGUGGAAUCCCGCAAUUAUUUUUUAUUGGUGUAAUCGAUAACCAAAUCGAUUAGCCCCCAAAUCGAUAAAUCGAAAUCGAAAAAAUCGAAACCUUAUUGAAACGAUAAUGAUAAACAUAUGU
Molecule: long non-coding RNA, 249 nt
Filed under: Nicotiana benthamiana
Lineage: Eukaryota; Viridiplantae; Streptophyta; Magnoliopsida; Solanales; Solanaceae
Description: long non-coding RNA (NBEN_LNC001255)
Source: RNAcentral